GACGAACGCUGGCGGCGUGCUUAACACAUGCAAGUCGAACGCUGAACCCGCUUCGGUGGGGGAUGAGUGGCGAACGGGUGAGUAACACGUGGGCAACCUGCCCCCGGCUCUGGGAUAGCUCCAAGAAAUUGGGGCUAAUACCGGAUGUGACCGCUGGCCGCAUGGUCUGGUGGUGGAAAGGGUUUCCGGCUGGGGAUGGGCCCGCGGCCUAUCAGCUUGUUGGUGGGGUAGUGGCCUACCAAGGCGACGACGGGUAGCCGGCCUGAGAGGGUGACCGGCCACACUGGGACUGAGACACGGCCCAGACUCCUACGGGAGGCAGCAGUGGGGAAUAUUGCGCAAUGGGCGGAAGCCUGACGCAGCGACGCCGCGUGGGGGAUGACGGCCUUCGGGUUGUAAACCUCUUUCAGCAGGGACGAAGCGCAAGUGACGGUACCUGCAGAAGAAGCACCGGCCAACUACGUG
Molecule: ribosomal RNA, 465 nt
Filed under: uncultured bacterium
Lineage: Bacteria
Description: partial 16S ribosomal RNA
Rfam family: Bacterial small subunit ribosomal RNA
Source: RNAcentral